UUUAUUAUUUCCGUCCAAGUGUUUCCUGGAAUGUAGCUUCUCUCGCUCGUAGAAGGAAAACCGAAACCAACAAAGUGCAAAGCGAUCAAUUAUGCUUAAAUAGGAAAAAUAUAGCGGGGGAAAGAUUCUUUUGCUGGUCGCCACUAUAUGCCGGGUCUACGGAAGCACCUAUCGCAAUAUUCCCGGUUACUGCCGGCCCUGGGACCUCCCCCUUCCUCCCCUGCAUCAGAGGGGAAAUGCGACGAUGUCUCUUCGCUGCCUUUACCCCUAGCACUGGCUCCCGCUCUUGCUGCUGUUUUCCAGAGGAGAAAAUGGACAUGCUGCACGGCACCAAACCGUGGUACCUUUGAGGUGUGAGAAACAUAUUCCGCCCAGCACAGGCUUGAGGACGCGGGCCUGUGCCAGCCUCUGGCACACGAGGAGGCCGCGGCUUCCCACGAGCAGAACGGGAGCACGCUCCCUGCUCGGGUGUUUGUUGGACACCCUGGCUAUCCCUACCCCUCUGCAAGGGGUCUGGGGCUCCAAUUUGCAGGUGUAGGUGGUGCCUGACCUCAGCUCUUACUGCUCAGAGACCCCCAGGACACUAGGCAUGCUUGUGGAGGGAAAAUACUUCUCGCGUACCAUACAGAGUUGGUGCCCUAACAAUGUAUGCAUGGAAAGGCGUGAUGGUGAAGCAGUCUUCUGCUGGCUCUUACUUGCUUUGGCUCAACCAUUACAAACAUGCUACAUGAUAUGCUAAAGAUGAGGAGGAAGCAACAGGUCUAAGCCAGGAGAGAAGGUCUACAAUUGUGUUUUCUUUCUGCUCUCUUUCUCUGUGCCUCAAAUCAAACUAAAGAUUUGAAUACUAGUUUUGCACAUCUACUAGUGAAAUCAUCAAGGUCUCUCAGAACUGCCAAAAUAAAUCUGAUUUUUUUUU
Cinclus cinclus is the source of this 916-nucleotide long non-coding RNA. RefSeq lists it as uncharacterized. The record is from RefSeq and is a predicted model, not a curated record. Lineage: Eukaryota; Metazoa; Chordata; Aves; Passeriformes; Cinclidae. The transcript is spliced from 3 exons.